AGGCUCCGAGGUGUCACACGUGGGGUUGCAAACCCCAAGAAGCAGAAUAAGUUCCUGCCGGGGCUUC
Molecule: transfer RNA, 67 nt
Filed under: Alsodes gargola (Tonchek spiny-chest frog)
Lineage: Eukaryota; Metazoa; Chordata; Amphibia; Anura; Alsodidae
Description: tRNA-Cys
Source: RNAcentral